ACUUCGGUGUGAGUAGAGCGGCGGACGGGUGAGUAAUGCUUGGGAAUCUACCUAGUAGUGGGGGACAACGUGUGGAAACGCACGCUAAUACCGCAUACGUCCUACGGGAGAAAGCAGGGGACCUUCGGGCCUUGCGCUAUUAGAUGAGCCCAAGUCGGAUUAGCUAGUUGGUGGGGUAAUGGCUCACCAAGGCUACGAUCCGUAGCUGGUCUGAGAGGAUGAUCAGCCACACUGGGACUGAGACACGGCCCAGACUCCUACGGGAGGCAGCAGUGGGGAAUAUUGCACAAUGGGCGAAAGCCUGAUGCAGCCAUGCCGCGUGUGUGAAGAAGGCUCUAGGGUUGUAAAGCACUUUCAGUGGGGAGGAAAAGUUCAAAACUAAUAUUUUUGAACCUUGA
RNAcentral lists this ribosomal RNA (398 nucleotides) under uncultured Gammaproteobacteria bacterium. Its description in RNAcentral is "bacterial SSU rRNA". It matches the Rfam family "Bacterial small subunit ribosomal RNA", at positions 77 to 472 of the family's 1533-position model. Lineage: Bacteria; Pseudomonadati; Pseudomonadota; Gammaproteobacteria. The record is from RNAcentral.